Molecule: ribosomal RNA, 468 nt
Filed under: uncultured bacterium
Lineage: Bacteria
Description: partial 16S ribosomal RNA
Rfam family: Bacterial small subunit ribosomal RNA
Source: RNAcentral
GAUGAACGCUGGCGGCGUGCUUAACACAUGCGAGUCGAACGGAGAAGCCCAGCUUUCUUGGGGUGCUCGAGUCGCACGCGUGAGUAUCACACGAGAAUCAUCCGCCUAUCACUUUGGGAAAACUUGAAGACAGUGGCGCUAACACCGGAUAAGCGCGCCCGCCGCGUGGGGGGUUUUGGAGAGUUUCCGCGGUUGGGGAUGGACUCGCGGCUUAUCAGCUUGUUGGUGGGGUAGUGGCUCACCAAGGCUUCGACGGGUAGCCGGCCUGAGAGGGUGACCGGCCACAUUGGGACUGAGACACGGCCCAGACUCCUACGGGAGGCAGCAGUGGGGAAUAUUGCACAAUGGGCGGAAGCCUGAUGCAGCGACGCCGCGUGAGGGAUGACGGCCUUCGGGUUGUAAACCGCUUUCAGUAGGGACGAAGCGAAAGUGACGGUAACGGCAGAAGAAGCACCGGCUAACUACGUG